GACGAACGCUGGCGGCGUGCCUAAUACAUGCAAGUCGAGCGAGCUUGCCUAGAUGAAUUUGGUGCUUGCACCAAAUGAAACUAGAUACAAGCGAGCGGCGGACGGGUGAGUAACACGUGGGUAACCUGCCCAAGAGACUGGGAUAACACCUGGAAACAGAUGCUAACACCGGAUAACAACACUAGACGCAUGUCUAGAGUUUAAAAGAUGGUUCUGCUAUCACUCUUGGAUGGACCUGCGGUGCAUUAGCUAGUUGGUAAGGUGACGGCUUACCAAGGCAAUGAUGCAUAGCCGAGUUGAGAGACUGAUCGGCCACAUUGGGACUGAGACACGGCCCAAACUCCUACGGGAGGCAGCAGUAGGGAAUCUUCCACAAUGGACGCAAGUCUGAUGGAGCAACGCCGCGUGAGUGAAGAAGGGUUUCGGCUCGUAAAGCUCUGUUGGUAGUGAAGAAAGAUAGAGGUAGUAACUGGCCUUUAUUUGACGGUAAUUACUUAGAAAGUCACGGCUAACUACGUGCCAGCAGCCGCGGUAAUACGUAGGUGGCAAGCGUUGUCCGGAUUUAUUGGGCGUAAAGCGAGUGCAGGCGGUUCAAUAAGUCUGAUGUGAAAGCCUUCGGCUCAACCGGAGAAUUGCAUCAGAAACUGUUGAACUUGAGUGCAGAAGAGGAGAGUGGAACUCCAUGUGUAGCGGUGGAAUGCGUAGAUAUAUGGAAGAACACCAGUGGCGAAGGCGGCUCUCUGGUCUGCAACUGACGCUGAGGCUCGAAAGCAUGGGUAGCGAACAGG
Molecule: ribosomal RNA, 788 nt
Filed under: uncultured Lactobacillus sp.
Lineage: Bacteria; Bacillati; Bacillota; Bacilli; Lactobacillales; Lactobacillaceae
Description: bacterial SSU rRNA
Rfam family: Bacterial small subunit ribosomal RNA
Source: RNAcentral